GCGGGGUAACGGCCCACCAAGGCGACGAUUGGUAGCCGGACUGAGAGGUUGAACGACCACAUUGGGACUGAGACACGGCCCAAACUCCUACGGGAGGCAGCAGUGGGGAAUAUUGCACAAUGGGGGAAACCCUGAUGCAGCGACGCCGCGUGAGUGAAGAAGUAAUUCGUUAUGUAAAGCUCUAUCAGCAGGGAAGAAAGUGACGGUACCUGAGUAAGAAGCCCCGGCUAACUAC
Molecule: ribosomal RNA, 235 nt
Filed under: uncultured bacterium
Lineage: Bacteria
Description: partial 16S ribosomal RNA
Rfam family: Bacterial small subunit ribosomal RNA
Source: RNAcentral